GGGCAGCCCCAGGUUGGGGUGUCGGUGCUGAGAGGUGGCCCAGGGCAAGUGCUGAGCAGAGAUGGGAUCAGGGGCUGAUUGCACUGGCCUGUUCUGCUUGCUGGGAGUGUCCCCUGGACUUGGCUUCGGGGAAGGCUGCCAGCCUGGAGCCACAGGCUUCCCUCUGGGUCGGGCCGUGUUUGGCAAGCCCUGCUUGGAUGGCUUCAAGGUCUGUGAAAUCUCUGCACCUGGGCCGCUCUGCUUGCUGGCUGCGCCCCAGCUCCUUGGCCAAUUUGUGCCCGUUGGGACUCUGCUGAGGGUGGAGGGGGUGUGGGGAGAGAUACACUUGCCUUACCCCAGGUCGCCAUGACCUGUGGCAGUUUUUCUGAGCCACCCGCCUUAAUCCUGGAGGGCAACAGGAAGAAGGAACCUCCUUUUAAACCCAGGUUGUUCCGUUCAGUGUGCGGGAGGACUGGUCCUGUGCGUGUGGAGCCCUUUCCUGCCCGUGCCUGCAGCCGCCGCCCUAACAGUCCCUGUUCAGAGAAGCAGCAAUGCAGAGCUGGUUGUUCUCACACCACAGACAAGAAAAUUGAAGCCAAGGAACCUCUCCAAACCACCUAGUUUAUUUGUGGCAAAACAUUGUGGCUCCUAAUAAGUGGGUUUUUAACCACACAGAAGAAAUGGCAUUUCUUCUACUGUUUUUCGAGUUAACAGAAUCCCUUUCUUAGGGAUGAGAGUUGAACACCACCACAACUGUGGGACCUAGAAUUUUUCUCCUUUUACAGAUGAAGAAAUAGAGGCUUAGACAAAAUGACUCGCCCCAAAUUAUACAGCUAGUCAGUGGCCAAGCCCACCCAUUCUGAUAGUGCUGUGCUUACCACUGGUGGUUGGCGUUAACAGUCUAGGUUGCUGCCUAUCCUCUUUUCUAAAACUGUUCCGCAGCUGUUUCUCUCCUCUUUACAGUGUAAUCAUUCUACUUAACCUUCUUCCAGACUUCUGGAAUAUAUCCUGUGAGGUUUGAAAGAAAACACACAAAAGCCAGCUUCUCUCUCCCUGACCCCACCCCCCAUUCCAUGGGGAAAAAAAGAAAGCCGACUUCAGGCUCAUUCCUCUCUGGCUGCUCUGAAGGACUCUGGGCUGGCUCCUGGGCAAGGUUACCCGCUGCCCAGCUUGGGGCCGAGUGGCCUGUUUGUUGUUUGCUGGCCACACGGCAGGGUCUGUGUCCACAGCCCAUCUUCUUGUGCUACAACUGAACCUGCAGUCAAGUGCGAGCCAGUGAUUGCCAUCAGGGGAGGCCCAGGUGCUGGACGGAGGGGCCGGGUGUGUGCUUUUUCACCCUGAGCUUCACCGCGGUUUUGGUUGUACACUGUCGUCUGUGUCUGGCGAGGCCUUCAUUGGGUGCUCGCCCAGAGCACGGAGGCAGGGUCUCACUUGACUCUCCCGUCCUGCAGACGGUCUCAGGAGUUGCUCAGCUUUCUUACGUCCUUUGUGCCUGGGGGAGGCCAGCACCCAGGAGGAGAGCACGCCUUCCACCCAAUAUGGAAGGUGGCAUACGCCUGAGGAACUCAGGAAAGCUGAGAGCACCUCAAAACGAGACAGGGUGAGGCUGGCGAAGGGGAGACCGACCACACACCCUUCUGUCAGCUAUUUUAAAGGGUUGUACUUACUUGUUGUAUGUGGUUCCAGAUGAGAAAAGAUAGUUAAAGCCCGAUUGGGCAAUUUGAGCUAACAUGUGCCUCGCACGGGGUGUGGCGAGAAGGGAGCCCGUGGCACCGGCAGUGUUUACGCCGGAAGCCAGCUGUUCAGAUGGCGCAGAGGAGGUCCUUCCACAGGAUGUUGGUCUGCACAGAACGCUGCUGUGAUCAUUGACCCUGCCAAGGCCAUGUCUCCCUUCUCUGGACACACGGAUGUAACAAACAUUUGUUGUCACCUGCCACCAGCCAGGCUGUGCUGGGUGAGGAGGGGUAGUUGAAGAAAAUGCCAGACGGAAGGGUGAAAGUGUUAGAUUACUAGGAAAUUAGCUUGGGGCCUUAGUUUUCUGUCUGUGCUGCCACCUUUGGCUCUGAACAGGUGGGCAGGGGACCCGCAGAGGGUUAGGUGGGUUUCUGAACGUUUGUAUUUCUAUGGCUCUGUCGGGGCAGCAGCGGUUUUGAGCCUUUAGGUCAGAGCCCUGAGGUUAGGGUGCGCUGAGACACUGAGCCCGUCCACCUCUGGGAGGACCAGGUGUCUCUAACUAGGAGUGGUCUUGUCUCAAGCCCUUUGGGCCACACAAACAUCACCAAGUGUGUCAUAGUGUGGAAAUCUCUGGGAGCACUGCCUUAGACCUGGUGUCGCUAAACUUUGUGAAAAGGUCCCAGUAGUAAAUCUUUCAGGCUGUGGGGCCUGUUGGCUCUGUCACAGCUACUCCACUUUGUUGUCGUGGCCCCAGAGCAGCAGGCAAGUGUGGCUGUGAACCAACAGCUUUAUCCCGGACGGGGAGUGGGCCUCUGGCUUAACGUGGCCUGGGCGCUUCCUCCCAUCUGUCUUCCUUGAGCACCUGUCCUGUGAGCAGUGGGGGAGGAGGGUGCAUGCUCGCCCAGGACCUCAGGUAUGGAGGGUGGGGUGGGCACUGUUGGGGCCCAGGGGAGAGGAAGCCAGGGCUGAACUGGGAGAGCCCCAGGAGGAGGCAGCUCCAGAGCCCGGGCUCCGUCCUCUGGGCCAGUGGCAGCUUGUGCUCAGGUUUGGAAAGAUGCUCGGGGCAGGGAAAGACCAGGUUUGUGGUUACAGGUGGUUCAGUUCCGCCUGGGUUUUUUAGCCAAGGCGUUGGUUACUGUUGGUCCACGAGUGGGAAGGAGACCUGGAGAAUUGGGUGGCUUUUCUGGCUACUGGGCUCCAGUGAGCACCACACGUUUUUUGAGUGGGCACAAUCUGCCAGCUUCACGCCUUUUCUCACUUGCUCUCCAAAGACAGCUGAAAAGGGCAGGACGAUGAAACCUGUCUCGGGUCUCCUUUGGCAUGGGGCCCAGGGCUUUGGCGUAUGAGAGUGAAAACCGCUAGGGAUGGGCUUCUCCUUGCUUCAGGAUGGAGUCACACAUCAGGAAGGCUUUAUGGUGCGGCCAGCAGCUGGACAGGCCUUCAGGGAAGUAGAACUGAAGCCUGUGACCUGCUGGGGCAGGUGCCCGUAGCACAGGCUGCGUGGGUGCGGCCCCCGGGCAGGGCUCCAUGGAGGUGGGCGGUGCUCUCUGCUUCCCGCGGCACCUCCCCUAGAGAUGCUUCUAGGCAGUGGACCGAGUACCUAUGAGGUGAGGUUCCAGGGACACGAACCAUGACAUUCUCAUUUAACUAACAUAGAGGGAAGUCGAGCAGGGUGGUGUCGGCGCUGGCUUCCUGUGCCCGUGGAAGGGGGCUGGAGAAAGACCUGUCCUGAGUGCCGGCAGCUCUGAGAGAGACGGGGAGGCACUUGCCAGAGGCCCUGCCGCUGGGAGGUUCAUCUGCGGCCUCCCCGGGGCCUGUGUGAGGGUGAGCGGUUUGGUGCUGCCCUGGGCCCUUGGGGGAGCUGCCGCCAGUGCCGAGUGCCGCCGUCGGGCUUGUCCUCACCAAGCCUCCGGCGAAAGCUGUGAAGGGUCGUGUUUGGCUCUUUUGCUCUUGGGGAUCUGGGGCCUUUGGGCUUUAUUGCCUUGGCUGUGCUGUGCUGUAGCUGCGUCACCUUCCAUCUCUCAGGAGUACCACUGUGUCUUCUAGAGGUUUCUGGGCUCAGGGAAGGGAAAGAACCAAGGAAGGCCCAGCCCAGACGAAGCCUUUUCUCAGGCUGCUCGGUCUGCACUGCGGCCCUGGCCUCACGGGAGGCACCUUAGUUGCUUCUGGAGCUUGAGCCUGGCCCUUGCCCUGUCCCAGCCCAGAACUGCGAGCCUGAGCCUGCUUGUCUCAUUCCCCUGCUGAGGGAGGGAGACAGUGCUCCGAAAGGGGUUCUUGGUUCUGACCCAAACAGUUCUGCUGCUCUGGAAAUGAAUCGUGGAUCAGGAGAGGCGUUGUAGGCGCUUGAAAAGCUGCCUUUCCGCUUGUGGUUUAUGAGCAAAGCCAGCCUUCUCUCUGGCCAGCCUCUCCCCUCCCUCACAGACACCUCAGGGCUUGAGGACUUUGGUUGGGGUGGGGGUCAGUGGCGAGACACACUCCUUUCCUUGACCUCCUGUCACCCCGUGAGCCUUGAGUCCUUCACCUCACCAGCUCCCUUGGCUGGGGCCCUGACCCCGAGCCCAUGCUGAUGGCCGCACCCAGGUUCAGCCAGGUUCCCGGGGUAGCGUUUCUCCCCGACCUCGGCAGCCUUGUCUGGUCAGGCAGGGUGCACACUGCACCCUUACUUUGCAGAGGGGACACCGAAUGCCGCUUGUCCCCUCGCCCACUUAGUGUGGUGGCUUCUCAAAUGGCUCCUGACCAGGGCCUAACUCUGUGCAUCUCCCAGGAACCCAGGGUGGCUCUGGCUGUCUCAUGGGCUGCCUCCAACUGCCAUAGGGCCUCCCCUCCAGGGCCUUGAGGCGGCACAGGGAAUGCUUGGCGGGGCUGGGGCGUGCCCUCUGCCCCUCUUGUCUUCUGGUGAGUCAGGAGCCACAUGCCUUGGGCAGGCUUCCUUUACUUCAGCCCGAGCAGCAUUUAUUCUGUUUCCCCAAAGUUUCUGUGAACUCAGGCCUUUCACUAGGGACCGUCUGUCCUGUUGUGCUGAAGCUUUGGUCUGAGUGUCUGGCCGGGGCUCAGUCACAUCUUCAGGAAAAGGCCAGGUCUCCGGAGGUGGCCCUAAUUAGGGGAGGGACCUCCAGGGAUAGUGAGGCAGGAGGGAAGGUACUGGUGCCUGGCUCAGCCUGUUAGCCCCCGGCCCAGGCCCCCUGAUGUGCCUGCCCAGCCGUAUUCCUAGACAGCGGCCUCUGAGACUUGCUUUUUCUCACCCAUUCCGUGCAGAACUCACUGGACAGGAGGCAGGAGGCAGCCAGUCUAGACCUGAAGCCCUCAGCUGUUCCAGGAGGGGCUUCCCUCACAAAGAGGAAGGGGGCCCUGCUCAGUCGCGGGCUGG
Molecule: long non-coding RNA, 5020 nt
Filed under: Sus scrofa (pig)
Lineage: Eukaryota; Metazoa; Chordata; Mammalia; Artiodactyla; Suidae
Description: lncRNA (ENSSSCG00015052490.1)
Source: RNAcentral